AACGCUCUGUAUUUUUUCUGAUUUUAAUUAUUUUUCUUUUAUUAUUUUUAAUUUCUAUUUCUUUUAAAAUUCAUAGUAAUUUCAUUUUUUAUCCAAAAAAUUCCAAAAUAAUUUCUAAAAUUCUCUUUUAUUUUUCUUCAUCUGAUUUUUAUUCUUUCACAUUUUAUUUCACUGAUUUUCUACUUUUCUUGAAUUUUAUCUUUUCUCUUUUGUUUUAAUUGGUUUAAAAAUACUUUUCUACAUUUUUAAAUUCUG
RNAcentral lists this long non-coding RNA (255 nucleotides) under Lathyrus oleraceus (garden pea). RNAcentral's name for it is "Pisum sativum (pea) long non-coding RNA (PSAT_LNC008756)". Lineage: Eukaryota; Viridiplantae; Streptophyta; Magnoliopsida; Fabales; Fabaceae. The record is from RNAcentral.